AAAUCCUAUAAAGGAUGGGGUGUCUUGCAUUAUUUUUUGGGUUCUGUCCUGCUAUGUCAUCUGUCCGGACUGACAAGAACCCAGCUUCUCUCUCGCACUCGACCUGUCUGGCCAAUAGGUUGGGCCGAACAACAGAUUGAUUCCACAACAGAAUCCUGCUUGCAGCUCUGAUCUAUUUUUCUUAAGGUUUUAAGCUCAGCAUUCAGAAGCGUAUUGCUACUUUCCCCCAGGGUGCAAAGGAAGCCCCAAGGCCAAUAGAAGGCAACUGACUGACUCCAGAUGUGUCCCUGUAACAGGGAGGCUCUGGCGCCCUGCUACGGAGCUGCACUGUCCCAGGCCCUUUGGAGAGAGGGGGGCC
Non-coding RNA from Pelodiscus sinensis (Chinese soft-shelled turtle), 358 nucleotides. The record is from RefSeq and is a predicted model, not a curated record. Lineage: Eukaryota; Metazoa; Chordata; Testudines; Trionychidae.